RNAcentral lists this ribosomal RNA (563 nucleotides) under Bipolaris sorokiniana. RNAcentral's name for it is "eukaryotic LSU rRNA". The stretch from base 190 to 343 matches the Rfam family "5.8S ribosomal RNA". Lineage: Eukaryota; Fungi; Ascomycota; Dothideomycetes; Pleosporales; Pleosporaceae. The record is from RNAcentral.
GCUGCGGAGGGAUCAUUACACAACAAAAUAUGAAGGCCUGGCUUCGCGGCCGGCUGAAAUAUUUUUUUCACCCAUGUCUUUUGCGCACUUGUUGUUUCCUGGGCGGGUUCGCCCGCCACCAGGACCAAACCAUAAACCUUUUUUUUAUGCAGUUGCAAUCAGCGUCAGUAAAAACAAUGUAAUUAUUACAACUUUCAACAACGGAUCUCUUGGUUCUGGCAUCGAUGAAGAACGCAGCGAAAUGCGAUACGUAGUGUGAAUUGCAGAAUUCAGUGAAUCAUCGAAUCUUUGAACGCACAUUGCGCCCUUUGGUAUUCCAAAGGGCAUGCCUGUUCGAGCGUCAUUUGUACCUUCAAGCUUUGCUUGGUGUUGGGCGUUUUUUGUCUCCCUCUUUCUGGGAGACUCGCCUUAAAACGAUUGGCAGCCGGCCUACUGGUUUCGGAGCGCAGCACAUAUUUUGCGCUUUGUAUCAGGAGAAAAGGACGGUAAUCCAUCAAGACUCUACAUUUUUAACUUUUGACCUCGGAUCAGGUAGGGAUACCCGCUGAACUUAAGCAUAUCAA